Molecule: ribosomal RNA, 2902 nt
Filed under: Escherichia coli UMEA 3693-1
Lineage: Bacteria; Pseudomonadati; Pseudomonadota; Gammaproteobacteria; Enterobacterales; Enterobacteriaceae
Description: bacterial LSU rRNA
Rfam family: Bacterial large subunit ribosomal RNA
Source: RNAcentral
UUAAGCGACUAAGCGUACACGGUGGAUGCCCUGGCAGUCAGAGGCGAUGAAGGACGUGCUAAUCUGCGAUAAGCGUCGGUGAGGUGAUAUGAACCGUUAUAACCGGCGAUUUCCGAAUGGGGAAACCCAGUGUGUUUCGACACACUAUCAUUAACUGAAUCCAUAGGUUAAUGAGGCGAACCGGGGGAACUGAAACAUCUAAGUACCCCGAGGAAAAGAAAUCAACCGAGAUUCCCCCAGUAGCGGCGAGCGAACGGGGAGGAGCCCAGAGCCUGAAUCAGUGUGUGUGUUAGUGGAAGCGUCUGGAAAGGCGUGCGAUACAGGGUGACAGCCCCGUACACAAAAAUGCACAUAUUGUGAGCUCGAUGAGUAGGGCGGGACACGUGGUAUCCUGUCUGAAUAUGGGGGGACCAUCCUCCAAGGCUAAAUACUCCUGACUGACCGAUAGUGAACCAGUACCGUGAGGGAAAGGCGAAAAGAACCCCGGCGAGGGGAGUGAAAAAGAACCUGAAACCGUGUACGUACAAGCAGUGGGAGCCUCUUUAUGGGGUGACUGCGUACCUUUUGUAUAAUGGGUCAGCGACUUAUAUUCUGUAGCAAGGUUAACCGAAUAGGGGAGCCGAAGGGAAACCGAGUCUUAACUGGGCGUUAAGUUGCAGGGUAUAGACCCGAAACCCGGUGAUCUAGCCAUGGGCAGGUUGAAGGUUGGGUAACACUAACUGGAGGACCGAACCGACUAAUGUUGAAAAAUUAGCGGAUGACUUGUGGCUGGGGGUGAAAGGCCAAUCAAACCGGGAGAUAGCUGGUUCUCCCCGAAAGCUAUUUAGGUAGCGCCUCGUGAAUUCAUCUCCGGGGGUAGAGCACUGUUUCGGCAAGGGGGUCAUCCCGACUUACCAACCCGAUGCAAACUGCGAAUACCGGAGAAUGUUAUCACGGGAGACACACGGCGGGUGCUAACGUCCGUCGUGAAGAGGGAAACAACCCAGACCGCCAGCUAAGGUCCCAAAGUCAUGGUUAAGUGGGAAACGAUGUGGGAAGGCCCAGACAGCCAGGAUGUUGGCUUAGAAGCAGCCAUCAUUUAAAGAAAGCGUAAUAGCUCACUGGUCGAGUCGGCCUGCGCGGAAGAUGUAACGGGGCUAAACCAUGCACCGAAGCUGCGGCAGCGACACUAUGUGUUGUUGGGUAGGGGAGCGUUCUGUAAGCCUGUGAAGGUGGCCUGUGAGGGUUGCUGGAGGUAUCAGAAGUGCGAAUGCUGACAUAAGUAACGAUAAAGCGGGUGAAAAGCCCGCUCGCCGGAAGACCAAGGGUUCCUGUCCAACGUUAAUCGGGGCAGGGUGAGUCGACCCCUAAGGCGAGGCCGAAAGGCGUAGUCGAUGGGAAACAGGUUAAUAUUCCUGUACUUGGUGUUACUGCGAAGGGGGGACGGAGAAGGCUAUGUUGGCCGGGCGACGGUUGUCCCGGUUUAAGCGUGUAGGCUGGUUUUCCAGGCAAAUCCGGAAAACCAAGGCUGAGGCGUGAUGACGAGGCACUACGGUGCUGAAGCGACAAAUGCCCUGCUUCCAGGAAAAGCCUCUAAGCAUCAGGUAACAUCAAAUCGUACCCCAAACCGACACAGGUGGUCAGGUAGAGAAUACCAAGGCGCUUGAGAGAACUCGGGUGAAGGAACUAGGCAAAAUGGUGCCGUAACUUCGGGAGAAGGCACGCUGAUAUGUAGGUGAAGCGACUUGCUCGUGGAGCUGAAAUCAGUCGAAGAUACCAGCUGGCUGCAACUGUUUAUUAAAAACACAGCACUGUGCAAACACGAAAGUGGACGUAUACGGUGUGACGCCUGCCCGGUGCCGGAAGGUUAAUUGAUGGGGUUAGCGGCAACGCGAAGCUCUUGAUCGAAGCCCCGGUAAACGGCGGCCGUAACUAUAACGGUCCUAAGGUAGCGAAAUUCCUUGUCGGGUAAGUUCCGACCUGCACGAAUGGCGUAAUGAUGGCCAGGCUGUCUCCACCCGAGACUCAGUGAAAUUGAACUCGCUGUGAAGAUGCAGUGUACCCGCGGCAAGACGGAAAGACCCCGUGAACCUUUACUAUAGCUUGACACUGAACAUUGAGCCUUGAUGUGUAGGAUAGGUGGGAGGCUUUGAAGUGUGGACGCCAGUCUGCAUGGAGCCGACCUUGAAAUACCACCCUUUAAUGUUUGAUGUUCUAACGUUGGCCCGUAAUCCGGGUUGCGGACAGUGUCUGGUGGGUAGUUUGACUGGGGCGGUCUCCUCCUAAAGAGUAACGGAGGAGCACGAAGGUUGGCUAAUCCUGGUCGGACAUCAGGAGGUUAGUGCAAUGGCAUAAGCCAGCUUGACUGCGAGCGUGACGGCGCGAGCAGGUGCGAAAGCAGGUCAUAGUGAUCCGGUGGUUCUGAAUGGAAGGGCCAUCGCUCAACGGAUAAAAGGUACUCCGGGGAUAACAGGCUGAUACCGCCCAAGAGUUCAUAUCGACGGCGGUGUUUGGCACCUCGAUGUCGGCUCAUCACAUCCUGGGGCUGAAGUAGGUCCCAAGGGUAUGGCUGUUCGCCAUUUAAAGUGGUACGCGAGCUGGGUUUAGAACGUCGUGAGACAGUUCGGUCCCUAUCUGCCGUGGGCGCUGGAGAACUGAGGGGGGCUGCUCCUAGUACGAGAGGACCGGAGUGGACGCAUCACUGGUGUUCGGGUUGUCAUGCCAAUGGCACUGCCCGGUAGCUAAAUGCGGAAGAGAUAAGUGCUGAAAGCAUCUAAGCACGAAACUUGCCCCGAGAUGAGUUCUCCCUGACUCCUUGAGAGUCCUGAAGGAACGUUGAAGACGACGACGUUGAUAGGCCGGGUGUGUAAGCGCAGCGAUGCGUUGAGCUAACCGGUACUAAUGAACCGUGAGGCUUAACCUU